GCCGCUGUGGCUUAGUGGUAUAGCGGCUGAUUCGUAAUCAGCAGGUCGGGGGUUCGAAUCCCUCCAGCGGCU
RNAcentral lists this transfer RNA (72 nucleotides) under Methanoculleus bourgensis. Its description in RNAcentral is "tRNA-Thr". It matches the Rfam family "tRNA". Rfam says of the family: Transfer RNA (tRNA) molecules are approximately 80 nucleotides in length. Their secondary structure includes four short double-helical elements and three loops (D, anti-codon, and T loops). The record is from RNAcentral. RNAcentral also lists the same sequence under 7 other names. Lineage: Archaea; Methanobacteriati; Methanobacteriota; Methanomicrobia; Methanomicrobiales; Methanomicrobiaceae.